UCUUGCCCUGGACCCUUCCUCAGAAUGGUCUCGGUUUCUGCCUCCUGAGGGCAUGCUCACAGGAACAGCUGCCAAGACCAGAGCACCUACUCUGUGCCGUGGGCUGACUGUGUGCCUCACAGACCUCGUCUCCAUGCCACUGGGAGCAGAUAUUUCUGUGCCCAUCAUAGACACAUGUACUCGGGCUUAGAAACUGGGACGUGCAUCACAGUAAGUCUCAGACAACUGCAGGAGCUGGAAAUUGGCCCAGGCUCAUGACAGGGAGGGGCAUCUUACCCCAGGAUGGAGGCCUGUUCCCGGCACAGCAGAGUGAACCCCAGGACCAGUGUGGAGACACAGAGGCCUAAGGCUGGUCCCACAUCACCCCUGGCAGAGGGACAAUAGGGGGAGAAGAUGAUGGAGGCCUGAAGCAGGGAGAAGAUGAUGGAGGCCUGAAGCAGGGAUGUAAGGAGCGCUCCAGUCAAGGAUGGGAGAAGCCAAAAAGAACAAGGCAGCCUUUCUGGAACAAGAACUGGCUGCAAACUGAAGCAGACCUGCCUCAGCCAUGCAGGCUGUCUGGGGGCACAGGCCCGCCACUCUGGGUCUGAUGCUCACCUGCUGACUCCUGCACUUGGAAAUUCUCUGCCAGUCCCUUGAGGAGCAGAGACCUGGAAGCCCUGGCCCCGGCUUCCGGCCAGCAGCAUUUCCCCAGUGAAGCCCACUCCCCGACAGCCGUCUCCUCGCCUUACUCAGCACCUCCACUCUGCUGACCAUUAGGAUGACCUCAGAGCUGUGUCAGAGAGGGAGAGAUCCUUCAACACCCCACACCCACCUGCCUUCCUGCGCCUGUGUACACCUGUGCAUAGAGGUCAAGUCUGCACACCUGGAUUCUCAUUUCGGCUCUGCCAUCACGGGAGCUACAGAGCCUUGAGCAAGCAAACCCGCUGGUGACUCGGUUACUCCAGGGAGCUCAAGUAGCCUGCCUUCGAGUACAUUUGCAUAGGCUUCUCAACUGGCUCUUUGGAGAUAAAUGACAUGUUUCUGGGAGCAGAGGAGAACAGCAAUGUGGGAAGAGAAAAGAAACUUAA
This is a long non-coding RNA of Condylura cristata (star-nosed mole), 1067 nucleotides long. RefSeq lists it as uncharacterized. Lineage: Eukaryota; Metazoa; Chordata; Mammalia; Eulipotyphla; Talpidae. The transcript is spliced from 5 exons. The record is from RefSeq and is a predicted model, not a curated record.